UUCCGGUUGAUCCUGCCAGAGGCUACUGCUAUCGGGGUCCGACUAAGCCAUGCGAGUUGAGAGGGGUAAGCCCUCGGCAUAUUGCUCAGUAACACGCGGAUAACCUGCCCUUGGGUUUGGGAUAACCCCGGGAAACUGGGACUAAUACCGGAUAGAUCAAAGAAACUGGAAUGUUCUCUGAUCGAAAGCUCCGGCGCCCAAGGAUGGGUCUGCGGCCUAUCAGGUAGUAGUGGGUGUAACGUACCUACUAGCCUACGACGGGUAAGGGUUGUGAGAGCAAGAGCCCUGAGAUGGAUUCUGAGACAUGAAUCCAGGCCCUACGGGGUGCAGCAGGCGCGAAAACUUUACACUGCGGGAAACCGCGAUAAGGGGACCCCGAGUGCCAGCACCUAGUGCUGGCUGUCCAGCUGUUCAAAUAACAGUUGUUAGCAAGGGCCGGGCAAGACCGGUGCCAGCCGCCGCGGUAACACCGGCGGCCCGAGUGGUAGCCGUUAUUAUUGGGUUUAAAGGGUCCGUAGCCGGCCUAUUAAGUCUCUUGGGAAAUCUGGCGACUCAAUCGUCAGGCGUUCAAGAGAUACUGGUAGGCUUGGGACCGGGAGAGGUGGGAGGUACUCCAGGGGUAGGGGUGAAAUCUCGUAAUCCUUGGGGGACCACCGAUGGCGAAGGCAUCCCACCAGAACGGGUCCGACGGUGAGGGACGAAAGCUGGGGGCACGAACCGGAUUAGAUACCCGGGUAGUCCCAGCCGUAAACGAUGCUCGCUAGGUGUCAGGUGCGGUGCGACCGCAUCUGGUGCCGCAGUGAAAACUUGAAGCGAGUCACCUGGGAAGUACGGUCGCAAGGCUGAAACUUAAAGGAAUUGGCGGGGGAGCACUACAACGGGUGGAGCCUGCGGUUCAAUUGGAGUCAACGCCGGA
RNAcentral lists this ribosomal RNA (916 nucleotides) under uncultured archaeon. Its description in RNAcentral is "bacterial SSU rRNA". It matches the Rfam family "Archaeal small subunit ribosomal RNA", at positions 1 to 922 of the family's 1478-position model. RNAcentral also lists the same sequence under 2 other names. The record is from RNAcentral.